GAGUUUGAUCAUGGCUCAGAACGUACGCUGGCGGCACGCCUAACACAUGCAAGUCGAACGAAGUAGCAAUACUAGUGGCAGACGGGUGAGUAACAUGUGGGUAUCUGCCCUUUGGCCUGGAAUAACACGAGGAAACUUGUGCUAAUACCGGAUAAGUCUUUACGGAGAAAGCUUUAUGCACCAUUGGAUGAGCCUGCACUUGAUUAGUUUGUUGGUGGGGUAAUGGCCUACCAAGACUGUGAUCAAUAGCUGAUUUGAGAGGAUGAUCAGCCACAUUGGGACUGAGACACGGCCCAAACUCCUACGGGAGGCAGCAGUGGGGAAUCUUGCACAAUGGAGGAAACUCUGAUGCAGCGAUGCCGCGUGAGUGAAGAAGGCCCUUGGGUUGUAAAGCUCUUUCGUCGGGGAAGAAAAUGACUGUACCCGAAUAAGAAGGUCCGGCUAACUUCGUGCCAGCAGCCGCGGUAAUACGAAGGGACCUAGCGUAGUUCGGAAUUACUGGGCUUAAAGAGUUCGUAGGUGGUCGAAAAAGUUAGUGGUGAAGUCCCAGAGCUUAACUCUGGAACUGCCAUUAAAACUUUUCAGCUAGAGUAUGAUAGAGGAAAGCAGAAUUUCUAGUGUAGAGGUGAAAUUCGUAGAUAUUAGAAAGAAUACCAAUUGCGAAGGCAGCUUUCUGGAUCAUUACUGACACUGAGGAACGAAAGCAUGGGUAGCGAAGAGGAUUAGAUACCCUCGUAGUCCAUGCCGUAAACGAUGUGUGUUAGACGUUGGAAAUUUAUUUGCAGUGUCGCAGGGAAACCGAUAAACACACCGCCUGGGGAGUACGACCGCAAGGUUAAAACUCAAAUGAAUUGACGGGGACCCGCACAAGUAGUGGAGCAUGUGGUUUAAUUCGAAGAUACGCGCAGAACCUUACCAACACUUGACAUGUUCGUCGCGACUCUAAGAGAUUAGAGUUUUCGGUUCGGCCGGACGAAACACAGGUGCUGCAUGGCUGUCGUCAGCUCGUGUCGUGAGAUGUUGGGUUAAGUCCCGCAACGAGCGCAACCCUCACUUUUAGUUGCCAUCAUUAAGUUGGGCACUCUGAAAGAACUGCCAGUGAUAAGCUGGAGGAAGGUGGGGAUGACGUCAAGUCCUCAUGGCCCUUACGUGUUGGGCUACACACGUGCUACAAUGGUAUUUACAACAGGAAGCAAGACUGCGAAGUUAAGCAAAUCCCUAAAAGAUACCUCAGUUCGGAUUGCACUCUGCAACUCGAGUGCAUGAAGCUGGAAUUACUAGUAAUCGUGGAUCAGCGUGCCACGGUGAAUGCGUUCCCGGGUCUUGUACACACCGCCCGUCACACCAUGGGAGUUGGUUCUACCUUAAGGCAAGGUUUCAAACCCUUGACCACGGUAUAGUCAGCGACUGGGGUGAAGUCGUAACAAGGUAACC
Molecule: ribosomal RNA, 1434 nt
Filed under: uncultured marine bacterium
Lineage: Bacteria
Description: bacterial SSU rRNA
Rfam family: Bacterial small subunit ribosomal RNA
Source: RNAcentral